UGGUGUAGCUCAAUCGGCAGAGCAGCUGAUUUGUAAUCAGCAGGUUGCUGGUUCGAUUCCGGUCACC
This 67-nucleotide transfer RNA is filed under the name pig gut metagenome. It matches the Rfam family "tRNA". From Rfam's summary of the family: Transfer RNA (tRNA) molecules are approximately 80 nucleotides in length. Their secondary structure includes four short double-helical elements and three loops (D, anti-codon, and T loops). The record is from RNAcentral.